CAUUUCAUGCUGCAUUUCUGAAGUAUAUGCAUACUUGAGUGGUUUUGAGAAAAUAUAUUCAUCUUGGAAUUUUUUGCAUCAAAGUACAGCAAAUAUAUUAACCUGUGAGUGCGAUCUGGUGGAAUGCAUGUGUUUUUCUUCCGUUCAAGAAGUACUAAGAUUCCCAUUCCACAAUAAGUUUUGACACUGCAUUGAACUUAAAAUUACCGAUUGAUUUUAUUGCUUUGACUUUAUCAAACAUAUUGGCUUACAUGCAUUUGACUGUCUAUUACUGCCAGGAUUUUGGUUAUGUACAAAUGACUUUCACCGAAAUGUCGAAGUCUUAUGUUUUUAAUGAGCCGAUUGUGGUUGGUGCUGAACAUUUGCAAUCUCUUGGCCCUGCUUCCAUUUUUGUGGUAGAAUGUCAUCCGAAUAAUCCAAUUCUCAUAUAAAAGGGACUUAAGUGGUGUAAUUUUGAUUGUUUUCUUGUGCGUCACAUCCUAUUGAUUGCUGAAGUUGGAUAUGUUCAGCAAGGGACCAAAAGAUAGCCAGGAACUGCUGUGACAAAAUCUGUUGUAGCAACUGAGCCUGGGGGUCAAACGAGGGAGGAAAUCUUUGUUGAUAUAAUCGAGAAAAUCAGCAUCACCUUUAGCUCAAGGAUAUAUACUGACUUCUGUGAUAGAUGGGAAAAUUCAGAUGAAGAGCUAUCUCACUGGCAAUUCAGAAAUCCGCUUAGCUUUUAAUGAUGACCUGGGCAUUGGAAGAGGCGGGAGAUCAGUCUAUGAUUACCGGAGUUCAUCUGGGUCUGGAGCAGUGAUAUUAGAUUAUUGUAAUUUCCAUGAGUCGGUACGUCUAGAUAGUUUUGACAUGGAGAAAACUUUGAGCUUGGUG
Molecule: long non-coding RNA, 870 nt
Organism: Juglans microcarpa x Juglans regia
Lineage: Eukaryota; Viridiplantae; Streptophyta; Magnoliopsida; Fagales; Juglandaceae
Exons: 3
Source: RefSeq, a predicted model, not a curated record